CGGAUUCUGGCUCAGAUGAACGCUGGCGGCAGGCCUAACACAUGCAAGUCGAACGGUAACAGGAAGCAGCUGCUGCUUGCUGACGAGUGGCGGACGGGUGAGUAAUGUCUGGGAAACUGCCCGAUGGAGGGGGAUAACUACUGGAAACGGUAGCUAAUACCGCAUAAUGUCGCAAGACCAAAGAGGGGGACCUUCGGGCCUCUUGCCAUCGGAUGUGCCCAGAUGGGAUUAGCUAGUUGGUGAGGUAACGGCUCACCAAGGCGACGAUCCCUAGCUGGUCUGAGAGGAUGACCAGCCACACUGGAACUGAGACACGGUCCAGACUCCUACGGGAGGCAGCAGUGGGGAAUAUUGCACAAUGGGCGCAAGCCUGAUGCAGCCAUGCCGCGUGUAUGAAGAAGGCCUUCGGGUUGUAAAGUACUUUCAGCGGGGAGGAAGGGGUUAAGGUUAAUAACCUUAGCCAUUGACGUUACCCGCAGAAGAAGCACCGGCUAACUCCGUGCCAGCAGCGGC
Molecule: ribosomal RNA, 513 nt
Filed under: uncultured bacterium
Lineage: Bacteria
Description: bacterial SSU rRNA
Rfam family: Bacterial small subunit ribosomal RNA
Source: RNAcentral